CCUACGGGUGGCAGCAGUGAGGAAUAUUCGUCAAUGGACGAGAGUCUGAACCAGCCAAGUAGCGUGAAGGAUGACUGCCCUAUGGCUUGUAAACUCUUUUUAUAAAGGAAUAAAACGAGGCACGUGUGCCUUUUUGCAUGUACUUUAUGAAUAAGGAUCGGCUAACUCCGUGCCAUCAGCCGCGGUAAUACGCAGGAUCCGAGCGUUAUCCGGAUAUAUUGGGUUUAAAGGGAGCGUAGAUGGGUUGUUAAGUCAGUUGUGAAAGUUUGCGGCUCAACCGUAAAAUUGCAAUUGAUACUGGCAGUCUUGAGUACAGUAGAGGUAGGCGGAAUUCGUGGUGUAGCGGUGAAAUGCUUAGAUAUCACGAAGAACCCCGAUUGCGAAGGCAGCUUACUAAACUGUGACUGACAUUGAUGCUCGAAAGUGUGGGUAGCAAACAGGAUUAGAUACCCCAGUAGUC
Molecule: ribosomal RNA, 460 nt
Filed under: uncultured bacterium
Lineage: Bacteria
Description: partial 16S ribosomal RNA
Rfam family: Bacterial small subunit ribosomal RNA
Source: RNAcentral